UGAAGUUGCUGUGAAAGCCAAAGGCACUUUUAUUUAUAUAAUUUCACAUUUUCUUGGCAGUCAGAUUGUUUUGACACUGUUGCACAAACAUAUGAUCAUUUAAGAUGUUCCUUUAUUUAAUGAAAGAUAGUAAGACUGGCUUCCAUCAUUUUUCAGAUGUUGUACAACUACAGGACUUUCAAUCUCAGUCAAGUUGAGGGGUCAGUUGCACGAAUGGUAACUGUAAUUCAAACUGGUCACUGGAAAAAGUGCCGCUGUGUGGGAAUCAAUUGUAGUUUCUCCGUGUCACAGAUCAUUUCAAGGACGUAUAGUGACUUAGGAAUGUUCUGUUACUACUAUAUGGAUCUUCAGGGAGUCGUGCACAAUGUGAACAGUGAUGUUGAAAAGUUCUGAUGAGCCUGCUAUCGUUACAGUCGAGGCAAGUCAAAAAUAGCGAACAGGAGUUAGAAAUUUUGUCUGACAUGGACUUACCUGCUAUAAUAUGUGUGGCAAGAAGUUUGAAAUCAAAGUCACAAGAAGUUGUUUGAUGAUGGAAGUAUCUGUGAUCAUUUAGUAUUUCCAGUGGUUCAGAGAAACAGAUUACACUAAAUGUGAUAUUUAUCUAUUUGUGAAUGAACGAGGACUUAAUGAGGAUAAAAUGUUAAGAAGACAAACCUGAUGCAGCAACAAUUUUGUGACAGUAUCAAUGUAAUAUUUAACCAUGUACAACUGUUUUUCAUUAUAAAUGCAAUAAAAGGUAAUACAAUGUUAAAACUGCUUUACACUUUUUAUGCGAGGGAAUAUGUUGUAUAUGGUCACUAUAGAGGUUUUUCCAUUUGAAGAAAUAAUAUUGUGGGUGAACCGGUGAAGAAUAUAUUGACCAAAUCUGUCAUGUUGACCAUAAUGUUCCGUGCAACCUUUAUUGUACAAAAAGUAGAUUUGUUAUAGCACCAAAUAAUAGUGAGAUUGGAAGGCCAGUGUGCAAACCACUGAGCUAUCC
Long non-coding RNA from Mercenaria mercenaria, 979 nucleotides. RefSeq lists it as uncharacterized. Lineage: Eukaryota; Metazoa; Mollusca; Bivalvia; Venerida; Veneridae. The record is from RefSeq and is a predicted model, not a curated record. The transcript has 4 exons.